RNAcentral lists this ribosomal RNA (490 nucleotides) under uncultured bacterium. Its description in RNAcentral is "partial 16S ribosomal RNA". It matches the Rfam family "Bacterial small subunit ribosomal RNA", at positions 30 to 507 of the family's 1533-position model. The record is from RNAcentral.
AUUGAACGCUGGCGGCGGGCCUAACACAUGCAAGUCGAACGGUAACAGGAAGCACCUUCCUGCUUCGCUGUCGAGUGGCGGGCGGGUGAGUAAUGUCUGGAAAACUGCCUGAUGGAGGGGGAUAACUACUGGAAACGGUCUAUAAUACCGCAUAACGUCGCACCGCCAAGGUGGGGGACGUUAGAGCGUCUUGCCAUCAGAUGUGGCCAGAUGGGAUUAGCUAGUAGGUGGGGUAACGGCUAACCUAGGCGACGAUCCGUAGCCGAUCUGAGAGGGUGACCAGCCACACUGGAGCUGAGACACGGUCCAGACUCCUACGGGAGGCAGCAGUGGGGAAUCUUGCGCAAUGGGCGAAAGCCUGAUGCAGCAAUGCCGCGCGUGUGAAGAAGGUCUUCGGGUCGUAAAGCACUUUUAGUGGGGAGGAACGGAGGAAAGUUAAUACCUUCGCUCAUUGACGGUACCUGAAGAAGAAGCACCGGCUAACUACGUG